GUAGGCUGAAACUCGCCUACAUGAAGCUGGAGUUACUAGUAAUCGCAGAUCAGAAUGCUGCGGUGAAUGCGUUCCCGGGUCUUGUACACACCGCCCGUCACACCAUGGGAGUCGGUAACACCCGAAGCCUGUAGUCUAACCGCAAGGGGGACGCAGUCGAAGGUGGGAUUGAUGACUGGGGUGAAGUCGUAACAAGGUAAC
RNAcentral lists this ribosomal RNA (201 nucleotides) under uncultured bacterium. RNAcentral describes it as "partial 16S ribosomal RNA". It matches the Rfam family "Bacterial small subunit ribosomal RNA", at positions 1300 to 1500 of the family's 1533-position model. The record is from RNAcentral.